This 250-nucleotide ribosomal RNA is filed under the name uncultured bacterium. RNAcentral's name for it is "partial 16S ribosomal RNA". It matches the Rfam family "Bacterial small subunit ribosomal RNA", at positions 524 to 773 of the family's 1533-position model. The record is from RNAcentral.
UACAGAGGGUGCAAGCGUUAAUCGGAAUUACUGGGCGUAAAGGGUGCGUAGGUGGUUAUAUAAGUUAGGUGUGAAAGUCCUGGGCUUAACCUGGGGAUUGCGCCUGAUACUGUGUAGCUAGAGUCCUGUAGAGGAAAGUGGAAUUUCCGGUGUAGCGGUGAAAUGCGUAGAUAUCGGAAGGAACAUCGGUGGCGAAGGCGACUUUCUGGACAGAGACUGACACUGAGGCACGAAAGCAUGGGGAGCAAAC